This 253-nucleotide ribosomal RNA is filed under the name uncultured bacterium. Its description in RNAcentral is "partial 16S ribosomal RNA". It matches the Rfam family "Bacterial small subunit ribosomal RNA", at positions 524 to 776 of the family's 1533-position model. The record is from RNAcentral.
UACGGGGGGGGCAAGCGUUGUUCGGAAUUACUGGGCGUAAAGGGCGCGUAGGCGGCCUGUUAAGUCGAACGUGAAAUCCCCGGGCUCAACCCGGGAACUGCGUCCGAUACUGGCAGGCUUGAAUCCGGGAGAGGGAUGCGGAAUUCCAGGUGUAGCGGUGAAAUGCGUAGAUAUCUGGAGGAACACCGGUGGCGAAGGCGGCAUCCUGGACCGGCAUUGACGCUGAGGCGCGAAAGCGUGGGGAGCAAACAGG